UGGGGAAUUUUGGACAAUGGGCGCAAGCCUGAUCCAGCCAUGCCGCGUGCGGGAAGAAGGCCUUCGGGUUGUAAACCGCUUUUGUCAGGGAAGAAACGCUCUGGGCUAAUACCCUGGGGUAAUGACGGUACCUGAAGAAUAAGCACCGGCUAACUACGUGCCAGCAGCCGCGGUAAUACGUAGGGUGCAAGCGUUAAUCGGAAUUACUGGGCGUAAAGCGUGCGCAGGCGGUUAUGCAAGACAGAUGUGAAAUCCCCGGGCUCAACCUGGGAACUGCAUUUGUGACUGUAUAGCUAGAGUACGGUAGAGGGGGAUGGAAUUCCGCGUGUAGCAGUGAAAUGCGUAGAUAUGCGGAGGAACACCGAUGGCGAAGGCAAUCCCCUGGACCUGUACUGACGCUCAUGCACGAAAGCGUGGGGAGCAAACAGGAUUAGAUACCCACGUAGUCCCUGAGCGGGCUGGCAAGGCGCAU
This 472-nucleotide ribosomal RNA is filed under the name uncultured bacterium. RNAcentral's name for it is "bacterial SSU rRNA". It matches the Rfam family "Bacterial small subunit ribosomal RNA", at positions 355 to 825 of the family's 1533-position model. The record is from RNAcentral.